RNAcentral lists this ribosomal RNA (546 nucleotides) under uncultured bacterium. RNAcentral's name for it is "bacterial SSU rRNA". It matches the Rfam family "Bacterial small subunit ribosomal RNA", at positions 331 to 871 of the family's 1533-position model. The record is from RNAcentral.
CCAGACUCCUACGGGAGGCAGCAGUGGGGAAUAUUGCGCAAUGGGGGGAACCCUGACGCAGCCAUGCCGCGUGAAUGAAGAAGGCCUUCGGGUUGUAAAGUUCUUUCGGUAUUGAGGAAGGUUGGUGUGUUAAUAGCACAUCAAAUUGACGUUAAAUACAGAAGAAGCACCGGCUAACUCCGUGCCAGCAGCCGCGGUAAUACGGAGGGUGCGAGCGUUAAUCGGAAUAACUGGGCGUAAAGGGCACGCAGGCGGGCUUUUAAGUGAGGUGUGAAAUCCCCGGGCUUAACCUGGGAAUUGCAUUUCAGACUGGGAGUCUAGAGUACUUUAGGGAGGGGUAGAAUUCCACGUGUAGCGGUGAAAUGCGUAGAGAUGUGGAGGAAUACCGAAGGCGAAGGCAGCCCCUUGGGAAUGUACUGACGCUCAUGUGCGAAAGCGUGGGGAGCAAACAGGAUUAGAUACCCUGGUAGUCCACGCUGUAAACGCUGUCGAUUUGGGGAUUGAGCUUAAAGCUUGGUGCCCGAAGCUAACGUGAUAAAUCGACCG